Mobula hypostoma (lesser devil ray) is the source of this 6123-nucleotide long non-coding RNA. RefSeq lists it as uncharacterized. NCBI's taxonomy places the organism in Eukaryota, Metazoa, Chordata, Chondrichthyes, Myliobatiformes, Myliobatidae. The record is from RefSeq and is a predicted model, not a curated record. The transcript is spliced from 4 exons.
AACAAAAUCAUUAUUUUGUAGAAGACAUUACAAAAUCAUUGUCACCCAUUGGUGGUCAAUAGCUAUUUAAAAGUUCAAAUGAUCAAGAACAUGCUUUAAGUCUGUACUAUACUUUUUUUUUCUCCAAAGGGUCUUUACUAUUAUGGAAAACAUCCAACAAAAAUCAACUUUUGCCCUGAAGUAGGGUAUCGGCCCAAAAUGUUAACUGCUCACACUUUUCCAUGGAUGCUGCACGACCUGCUGAGUUCCUCCAGCAUUUUUUGUGUGUUGCUUUGUUUAUAAAAUGUUGCUGAGCAACUAUAUCAGCACACCAUAUGGGUGAUUAGUGAAUUAAAACUUCAUGGAUAGCUGAAGUUAGUGGGAUAAAGAAGGGAAAUGGUUACAAUAAUAAACAGGGAAGAAGUUUUUCAUUCUUCUGAGACAUCACAACUUUGGAACUGAAGUUAACAAGCUAAAUAAAAAUGGAGAUAACACCAGGGUUUUUUUUUCUCUCUCCUUACAACGUUAAAAACCGUCUUACAGUUUAAACAAUUUUAUUUGUUAAUAAUUCCAGUCAAAGCAAAAUUCAAAGGGAUUAAAAAAAAAGAAUACUUAAAAAGAAAAUAUCAAGUAGCAAAUGCUGUGUCAAAAGGUUUAUUUCAUGAUUUCCCUCCAUAGAUGCUGCUUGACCUGCUGAGUUCUUCCCAUUUUUUGGAGAUUUUUUUUUGUUGAAAAUUCCAGUGUGCAGUGUUUUUAACCCUGAAUUUUGAUAGGGUUAGAUUGCCAAAUCCUUUUGAAAUCUUAGUUCCCAAUAUUUCUAAAAGAGCGGUUUCUUGGAUAUACAAGGUAAACUUGCCACUGAUAUUAAGAUAGCAGCUUACUUGGAAGAACACCCUCAGAGGAUACCUAGGUUAAGAAAAUAACCAAAACAUUUUGGUAAAGAUAAGAGAUUCUGCAGAUGCUCGAAAUCUUGACCAAUACACACAAAAUGCUGGAGGAACUCAGCAAGUCAGGCAGCAUCUCUGGAGGAGAAUAAACAAUCGAUGUUUUGGGCUGAAACCCUUCAUCUGGGUUGGAAAGGAAGGCGGAAGAAGCCAGAAUAAGGUUGGGGGGAGGAGGGAGGGAUUACAAGAUGGCAGAUACUAGUUGAGACCAGGUGAGGGGGUAUGAUGUAAGAAGCUGGGAGAUGAUAAGGUAAGGAGCUGAAGGAGGAAUCUAAUAGGAGGAAACAGUGGACCAUGGAAGAGAAGGAGGGGAACAAGGGCAGGUGAGGAGAAGGGGUGAGAAGAGAACCCAGAAUGAGGAAUGUUAAGAGAAAGGAGAAGGGUAGAAAUGACCAGAAAUUUGAGAAAUUGAUGUUCGUGCAUUGCAUUAGGGACUACCCAGAUGGAAUACAAGGUGUUUUUCCUCCAAACUGAGUAUGGCCUCGUCAUUAUAGUAGAGACAGCCAUGGCGGAAUGGGAAGUUGAACUGAAAUGGGUUGCCUCUGGGAGAUCCUGGCUUUUGUGGCAGACGAAGCAAAGGUGCUUGAUGACGUGGUCCCUCAAUCUACGCUGGGUCACACCAAUGUACAGGGGGCUGCACUAGAUACAAAUUGAUGACUCUGACAGACUCACAGUUGUUGUUUGCCUCACAUGGAAGGACUGUUUGGGGUCUUAAAUAGUGGUGAUACUGGGGCAGGUGAUACUAGAACUUGUUAUGCUUACAGGGAUAGUGCCAGGAGUUAGAUUGGUGGGGAUGGAUGAGUGGAUAAGGGAGUCAAGUAGAGAGUGACCACUAUAGAAUGUUGUGUGUGUAUGUGUGUGUGGUGUGAAGAAUUAUGUGCUGGAUCAAGAGGCUCGUGGGGUGGUAGCUAAGGACAAGGAGAACCCUAUCCCUGUUAUGACGGCAGAAGGAUGGACCGAAAAUGAUGUGCUGGAUACAGAAAAUAUUUUUUAGUACUUAAGAUUAUUAUAACAAUGGCUACUUUUCAUCAUGAUAAUCAUUAAAAUGGAGAUCUGUUGCAACCACACAAGCUCAGAAAUGUGAUGAUGGCCAAAAUGUCCCACUGUCAUUACAAAACGAAACUAACAGCAUCUUGGGAAUCUUUUUAGUGAACACAUUUUUAAAAGCAGAAAAGCUGAACUUGCUGUCGGUGAUUCAGCCUUUCUCCACGAGCUGCACAGUUUGUGCCGUUUUCACCAAAGUCAAAGGAAAUAAGUAGAACUACAAGAAUCUGGUAUUUUUGAACUGGUCCAGUUGUGAAAUAUCCCAAAAUGUAACAGUAUUGCACAAAUCUAAGUGAGAUUUUAAUGGUACACAGUAAGAUUCCAAUAAUCUGAUUAUUUGGAAACCCCAGUGAUCCAGCAUCUAGCUCACUGUGUGAUGUUUGUGUUUCUCACAUCGUUUUCUAGCACAUUAUUACACUGGUGCUGGUUCUUGUUUUCAUAUGGAACUUGAAAUUUUACUUUUCCUACCAAUUUUCACCUUGUUGUCAUCACAAAAUAGCCCCUGACUCUUCUCCUCCCUUUCUGCAACAAAUACUUUUUUUUCCAAAACUACUGACUCACACAGCUAUUUUAAUUAUACUUCUUUUGGCUGUGUGUUCUGUAAGGACUAUUCCAUUCUCCCUGUUUCUGCCACCAUCAUAUUUGCUAUAAUGAUGAGAAUUACCACACAGGUACUUUAGAGAGAUUUUCCUCCUUAUUAAGUUGUUUCCCUUUACCGAAGUUGAUAAGGGUCUGUGAUUACAUCUCACUUAUUCUCCGCAAGUCUGGUCGCAACCCUCUCCUGCACAGAGCAAAACUAGAGUUCCAUGUGCCCCCUCCUCCCACCAUUCACAUCUAAUGCAGCACCAAUCACAACUUAUGUGCCUAAAAUGAGAUUUCCCCAAGAACCAUUCCCUUUGCGACUUGAUGGUCUGUCUGUCUUCUGUCCCACCAACCACUGAAAAUCUGUUAUUUUCUCAUACAACUACAGGGGAUCCAACACCUGUCUUUUUUACCUUUUCCCUUCCAAUUAUCCAGCUGAAAGUAGCAAUUCAUUUUCUCUUCCUCCAACUGAGUGCAAUGAAUUCAAAUGUUCACAACCUGGUAUCAUCUGCUUUGGGAAGACCAAAAGCAAAGUGCAAGAACAUCACUAUUCAGAAUGCAGGAGCAACCCUGGACUUGUUGCAGCUUGCCACUUUAGUUCACCAGCCCAGUCCUACUCUCAGCUUUCUGCUGGUAGAGUAUUCCAUCUGAAUCAGGCUAAAUUGCUUUUGCAUUGCAUUUUAAUAGAUUUGUUCUUUCUUAUCUAAGCACCAUGCAAGCUUCUACUUUCAGGAAAUGAUGCACUACACAAGGGAACAACCUCUCCCAGAGAAGCUCCAAAGCCUCAAAUUUAAAGCACUCCCUCUUUUGCUAGUCCUCCAGUCAUGAAUUUGCUCCAUCUUCCUACUUAUGUAUUUGUCAGCAUGUGUCACUGGAACAAUUACUUUGUUGCCCUGUAUUUUAAGAUUUUUCCUAGUUCUCUAAAAUGCUUGCACUUCCUCAUCCAGCCACAGCCCCCUCUCCCUUAUUCUACACCCUUCCCCUUCAGGAGGUAUUCGAGCUAUCCAGUGACAUUGACCUUCGCACGCAGGAGACAAAUGUUUAAGUUGUAUCCAUGCCCAAAGAAGCACCUUUUUGAUUCUCUAAGUUAUUGAUCUCUCUUCUUCCUCCAUUACUAUGCAUUGUUACCAUACUCCCAAAGUGAUCGCAUUAUGUAUUUUGAUGCGGAGAAAUUGCAUAAUUUCAAUAAUUACAGCACCUUUUCCACCUCCAAUGCUUUUUGGCACGUUAUAACCUAACCUCUAUUUCAAUCAAUAUGCCCAAAGCUUCUCUGAACUUUACUCAUUGUGUUACUAAAUUACAAAUAUAUUGCCCCUUUAAUCCAUAUCCAGUUUUAAAAUAAAAAAUAACUUUGUAACCACUUGCACAAACGCACUCUUUCCCGGGCCACAAAGACGGGAAAUCCUAGUCCUUCAUUUUACAGUUUGCUUAUGCUCACAGAAAAUGUUCCGUGUAUAUAAAAAGACACUGCAAAACAAAGUAAUAAAUAAGAUAGCCAACACAUGUCGGGGCACGCCAUGAAUACAAAUUUUACAAACUCUCCGUCAUUUCUAACUAUCAUGUGGCCGUACUGGAAAUCUUCUGGCUAAGAUUUCUCCCCAAUAGCCCCGGCUGCCCGCGCAGUCUUUUAACUCCUAGUCUUACAAUGGGCCCGCUUCCUGCCGCACUGCGCCGCGCCGGCGGCUCAGUUUUAUAGGAGCUCCCAGCACAGCAGCGGCAGGUUAACCAAUGGGGCGGGCAGCGAGCGCGGCCGCCGUUACCCAGGCCUAUGCGCUCGUCGUUUAACUUCACGUCUGCAACGAGCGACCAGGCCGAACAAGAAGGGAGGAGGGCGCCAUGUUGCUGCCGUCGGCGGGGAGCAGCGAACUGAACAAGCUCCAACAGAACUAUCAUCUUCAUACUUUCUCUCUGUGCUGUCCUCAGAGGAUUUACUGCAGCAAUCAUAUGUUCUUCCUCCUGAUCCCAGACGGGUUCGGCACCGCGCUCCAGGACUGUUUUGACCAGACGAACUGGCAGAUGUUCAAGGUGGCCACAACAGAGCAGACAUAAACCUCAAGAAUAUGCCUCAUCUGUCAUCAGCUACAUCAGUAGAAGAAGAUGGUGCCAGUUUUCCAGGAGAAAAGGAACAGCUUUAGAAUUUAAAUAUUAUAUGUUAAGCAAAGGUGGUCAGCAUUCAUAGAAAAAAAUCAAUCAGGCUGAAUAGAAUGCUGUUGGUUAAGUGUGUAAAACAAAACAGUGUCUUUGGCCAUUAUUCUUCAAACUUUCUUGGAUAUGAGACUGGCAGUUUGAAAAUGUUACAUGCCUGUGGAGAAGGAUAAAUUCAAUAACCACAUACCAGGCAAAGCAGUGUCAGUAAUGGAGAAACUACCUGGCAUUUUAUCUGAGCCAAUGAGAAUCUGUGGUUGCAAAAAUAAAUAUUAAGGAACAUGUUCCAGUAUGAAAACAGGAAAAUAGUUUUCAACAAACUUAGAUUGACUGCCUAGAUUAUUGACAUGAUCAAUAAGGCUCAUUAGGGUAGUGUGGUUAAUAGUGCAAAAUAGACUUCAAAUACUAUUGAACAAAUGCCACAAAGUAAACCUGAAACACACAAAAUUAAUGUAAGUAAAGGUGUAUACACUAGAAACAUAUGUAAAGGGUUGCUACAGGAAUGUUACCUGUUGCACGAAUGACUGCUUCAAUGAGAUGCAGCACAAUGAACUCAAAUGUUCUCAAUCUUACCAAUAAAAGGCCUUUCUGACAAAGCCCAAUCGAAUUUUCCCAAGCUAUAUUGCCAGCAGAAAAACAUCAUUUGAUGGGAGUUUGAUGCUAAAAUCAUUUCAGGUAUCUUUGUGUAUGUAACUAAUGUUCGUAAGUGUCUGGUCAAAAUUUUUGGAUGUUGAGAAAGCUAAAAAUAGUUGAUACUUGUCCUAUUUGUCAGGUGUUUAUUUCCAUAAGCCAGAGUUGAACUAAGAGAUUGAUAUUAAAAUUGCUUAAUUUAAUGUAUAGUAAUAAAGUAGACCUGGGUAUAGAUGCCAUGAUUUCAAAAUUGCAAUAAAUACACAAAAUGAAAAUGCAAUAUAUGAAGGCAGUAGUCAACUUAAAAAUAGAAUAGAUACAAUGACUGAAUAGUUAGUCACGUGGCAGAUAAAAUUCAAUGCAAUAUAGCAGUAGCCUUUAGAAAGAAGGUCAACUGGAGAUAUUAUAAAUUGAAUAGUACAACUUUGAAGGAGGUAUAGAAAUUGAAAGAUUGGCAAUACAACAUACAAUUAUUUAUAAAUAUACAGCUAGUACAAAAGCAAGCAAAUACUGAGCUUAAUAAAACAGGCAUGAGUCAAUGAUAGUUUCACUUCCUCCAAGUCAGAUGGUUGCAACUUUAAUUUUUGGGAUUUGAGUACAAAAUAUGGACUGAACUCAGAGAGGGUGCAGAAGAGGCAAAAGAGGUUUACUAUAAUGAUUCCAGUAAUAAAGGACUUUAGUUAUGCAAACGGACUGGAGAAAUUGGGAGCGGACUUGAUAAUAGGCCCUCAAUAUCAUGAAGGAUUUAGCCAGUGGAAUUGGAGAGAACCCAAUUUGAUUGCCAAAAAGAACCAGAGGA